AAGCACGGGUGAGUAACGCGUAUCCGACCUUCCGCACACUCCGGGCCAGCCUUCCGAAAGGAAGAUUAAUCCCGGAUGGUAUGGCGUGGCUGCAUGGCAGCGCCAUUAAAGGAGCGAUCCGGUGUGCGAUGGGGGUGCGUUCCAUUAGCUUGUUGGCGGGGUAACGGCCCACCAAGGCGACGAUGGAUAGGGGUUCUGAGAGGAAGGCCCCCCACAUUGGGACUGAGACACGGCCCAAACUCCUACGGGAGGCAGCAGUGAGGAAUAUUGGUCAAUGGGCGCGAGCCUGAACCAGCCAAGUAGCGUGGAGGAUGACCGCCCUACGGGUUGUAAACUCCUUUUAUAAGGGAAUAAAACCUCCCACGUGUGGGAGCUUGUAUGUACCUUAUGAAUAAGCAUCGGCUAACUCCGUGCCAGCAGCCGCGGUAAUACGGAGGAUGCGAGCGUUAUCCGGAUUUAUUGGGCUCUUAAAGGGAGCGUAGACGGGAUGUCAAGUCAGCUGUGAAAGUUUGCGGCUCAACCGUAAAAUUGCGGUUGAAACUGGCUUUCUUGAGUGCGUUCGAGGCAGGCGGAAUUCGUGGUGUAGCGGUGAAAUGCGUAGAUAUCACGAAGAACCCCGAUUGCGAAGGCAGCCUGCUAGGCCGCAACUGACGUUGAUGCUCGAAAGUGCGGGUAUCAAACAGGAUUAGAUACCCUGGUAGUCCGCACGGUAAACGAUGGGCACUCGCUGCCGGCGAUAUACUGCCGGCGGCUUAGCGAAAGCGUUAAGUGCCCCACCUGGGGAGUACGCCGGCAACGGUGAAACUCAAAGGAAUUGACGGGGGCCCGCACAAGCGGAGGAACAUGUGGUUUAAUUCGAUGAUACGCGAGGAACCUUACCCGGGCUUGAACUGCGGAUGAAUUGCGCGGAAACGUGCAAGUGGGCAACCACAUCCGUGGAGGUGCUGCAUGGUUGUCGUCAGCUCGUGCCGUGAGGUGUCGGCUUAAGUGCCAUAACGAGCGCAACCCCUUCCGCCAGUUGCCAUCAGGCAAUGCUGGGGACUCUGGCGGUACUGCCAUCGUAAGAUGCGAGGAAGGUGGGGAUGACGUCAAAUCAGCACGGCCCUUACGUCCGGGG
This 1117-nucleotide ribosomal RNA is filed under the name uncultured bacterium. RNAcentral's name for it is "bacterial SSU rRNA". It matches the Rfam family "Bacterial small subunit ribosomal RNA", at positions 98 to 1213 of the family's 1533-position model. The record is from RNAcentral.